RNAcentral lists this ribosomal RNA (497 nucleotides) under uncultured bacterium. RNAcentral's name for it is "partial 16S ribosomal RNA". It matches the Rfam family "Bacterial small subunit ribosomal RNA", at positions 28 to 507 of the family's 1533-position model. The record is from RNAcentral.
GAUGAACGCUGGCGGCGUGCCUAAUACAUGCAAGUCGAGCGAACAGACGAGGAGCUUGCUCCUCUGACGUUAGCGGCGGACGGGUGAGUAACACGUGGAUAACCUACCUAUAAUACUGGGAUAACUUCGGGAAGCCGGAGCUAAUACCGGAUAAUAUAUUGAACCGCAUGGUUCAAUAGUGAAAGACGGUUUUGCUGUCACUUAUAGAUGGAUCCGCGCCGCAUUAGCUAGUUGGUAAGGUAACGGCUUACCAAGGCGACGAUGCGUAGCCGACCUGAGAGGGUGAUCGGCCACACUGGAACUGAGACACGGUCCAGACUCCUACGGGAGGCAGCAGUAGGGAAUCUUCCGCAAUGGGCGAAAGCCUGACGGAGCAACGCCGCGUGAGUGAUGAAGGUCUUCGGAUCGUAAAACUCUGUUAUUAGGGAAGAACAAAUGUGUAAGUAACUAUGCACGUCUUGACGGUACCUAAUCAGAAAGCCACGGCUAACUACGUG